This 1060-nucleotide long non-coding RNA is filed under the name Triticum aestivum (bread wheat). Its description in RNAcentral is "long non-coding RNA (TAES_LNC009821)". The record is from RNAcentral. Lineage: Eukaryota; Viridiplantae; Streptophyta; Magnoliopsida; Poales; Poaceae.
AAUUACUUGAGUAGAGGGGACAACAUAAGAAUCACACUUGGAUCUUAUUGAGUAGUAGCCACAAAAAUAGCAAAUGCAAUGUUGCAGCCAGUAAAAGUAAACAGAAAAUAUCAAUUAAGCAAAAGAAAGGGAAAUAUUCCAUUCUGCUACUACUAAAAAGAUAAGCUUACUCCCUCAUUUGAUACAUCACAAUAGCAUAUCCAUUUGACCAAUCAUCCUAUGUAUUGUGAAAAAGUUUAGCUCCAUCAUGUCCACCACCAAUGCUCAUUCCUACAAGGGGAAAUUCCAACCAUUAUGUAUCUCAUCUUGAGAAACAUCUGCACUACAGCUAUGCACUAAUACUACCAGUUGUAUCAGAUUAUUGGGCAUUGAUGAGAUAUUUGGAUAAACUCACAUAUGUAAUUUGAGGAAAAUAACUCAGGUUUGAUACAUCAUGACGAGUAAAUAAACAAAACCCCUACUCUCUAAGAAAGAGAAUAUUCUUGAAACAAUAAAUACUCACUAUUGCCAUAAAAAAUGAAGAAUAUGCACACUCAGACAAUUAGCUAACCUGAAGGGAGAAGUAUGCUUAAGCACGCUCCACAAUAAGAGUAUGAGAAUAGCAAAAAACAACAUUGCUAAAUUUUAUUUUAUUUUUGACAAAUGAGAUGCACAAGUGGUUUCAACUAAGGGAACUCAAAUAACGGUAGAGUAGAAUCACCUCUCCAGAGAGCAGAACUGGUUAGCUACAGUAAAAUAUAUUCUUUCCAAAUCAUAAACAUCACAUAGAACACCACCACACAAACAUCCAAAAAGAAGACUCCAUCGCUAUAUGUUGAGGAGAUCAUCCAUCAACAAAAGAACCGAUUUAUAUGGAACUAGUUACACUUGUUAUCUUAACACGAAAGGAUGUGAACAUCAUUUAAUCAACGAAUUAUAGAUAUUAUCUUGAUUUUGCUAUACCUACUACAAUGUAAAGGCAUAUGCUAUUACCUGCAGCAUAAAGACUUUCAAACAGAUGAUAACAAACCCACUUCUUGGUCUUGGAAACUUUCUUGAACUGCAGUGGCUCAAGCUGGAU